GAUAAAUGACGGUGACGCACCAUCAUCCAGCAGGUCGUCUUCAGCCCAGAGUGAGGACCUGAGUGAGGACCAAGAAACAGCUACUCUAGGCCACGAUGUGGGCAGGGUUUAUGCCUGCUGGUCAGGUCACUGUUCCUCCGUGGACUUCCGCUGGGCUAAGGAGUGUGACAUCCGGGAGGCUUGUGUCUUAUGUCUGCAAGAGACAGGCGGUGGCUGGAGCACAAGUGAAAAUCCUCACGUCCUCCACAAUGGAGAAUCACCAGCGAUCAAAAAAGCCUGAAGAGAACGUGGAGGCCCUGAAAGCUGCCAUGACUGUAGAGGACAGAGAGUGUUUCAGCUCCAGCACCGCCGACUUGGAAGCUGAACAACCUCCUCCCUGCCUCCAUAUUUCACUGAUGAUGAAAG
Eriocheir sinensis (Chinese mitten crab) is the source of this 405-nucleotide long non-coding RNA. RefSeq lists it as uncharacterized. The transcript has 3 exons. Lineage: Eukaryota; Metazoa; Arthropoda; Malacostraca; Decapoda; Varunidae. The record is from RefSeq and is a predicted model, not a curated record.